GGUUUGAUCUUGGCUCAGAGCGAACGCUGGCGGCAGGCCUAAAACAUGCAAGUCGAACGCCGUAGCAAUACGGAGUGGCAGACGGGUGAGUAACACGUGGGAACGUACCCUUUGGUUCGGAACAACACAGGGAAACUUGUGCUAAUACCGGAUAAGCCCUUACGGGGAAAGAUUUAUCGCCGAAGGAUCGGCCCGCGUCUGAUUAGCUAGUUGGUGGGGUAACGGCCCACCAAGGCUACGAUCAGUAGCUGGUCUGAGAGGAUGAUCAGCCACACUGGGACUGAGACACGGCCCAGACUCCUACGGGAGGCAGCAGUUAGGAAUCUUGGACAAUGGGCGCAAGCCUGAUCCAGCCAUGCCGCGUGAGUGAUGAAGGCCUUAGGGUUGUAAAGCUCUUUCAGCGGGAAGAUAAUGACGGUACCCGCAGAAGAAGCCCCGGCUAACUUCGUGCCAGCCGCCGCCGUAAC
RNAcentral lists this ribosomal RNA (467 nucleotides) under uncultured Alphaproteobacteria bacterium. RNAcentral describes it as "bacterial SSU rRNA". It matches the Rfam family "Bacterial small subunit ribosomal RNA", at positions 10 to 524 of the family's 1533-position model. Lineage: Bacteria; Pseudomonadati; Pseudomonadota; Alphaproteobacteria. The record is from RNAcentral.